Molecule: unclassified non-coding RNA, 957 nt
Filed under: Hevea brasiliensis (rubber tree)
Lineage: Eukaryota; Viridiplantae; Streptophyta; Magnoliopsida; Malpighiales; Euphorbiaceae
Source: RNAcentral
AUAUCUGGAACAGAUAUUGUGAGACCAAGAGGUCAAGGCCAUCCAGCUGGAAAUUCCCCACCUUAUUUUGGACCUUCCAUGAAGCUAGACUUUGAGCUAGAAAUGGCUGCUGUUGUUGGCCCUGGAAAUGAACUGGGUAAAGCUGUGGAUGUUAAUGAAGCAGGAGAUCAUAUAUUUGGACUUGUAUUAAUGAACGACUGGAGUGCUAGAGAUAUUCAAGCUUGGGAAUAUGUGCCUCUUGGGCCUUUUCUUGGAAAGAGCUUUGGUACUACAAUAUCCCCUUGGAUUGUAACACUUGAUGCUUUGCAGCCUUUUGCUUGUGAUGCCCCCAAACAGGAUCCCCAUCCAUUGCCAUAUCUAGCUGAAAAAAUAUCCAAAAACUAUGACAUUUCACUGGAGGUCCAAAUUAAACCAGCAGGACAAGAGGAUCCAUGUGUGGUCACAAGAAGUAACUUCAAGAACUUGUAUUGGACAUUAACUCAACAGCUUGCCCACCAUACAAUAAAUGGUUGUAACCUAAGGCCAGGCGAUCUGCUUGGAACUGGGACAAUCAGUGGACCUGAGCCAGAAUCUCUUGGAUGCUUGUUAGAACUAACAUGGAAUGGACAAAAACCAUUGUCAUUAAAUGAAGCAGCACGAACAUUCCUAGAAGAUGGAGAUGAAGUCAUUUUCAGUGGUUAUUCUAAGGGAGAUGGCUACAAUGUUGGGUUUGGAACAUGCUCUGGAAAAAUUCUUCCAUCACUUCCAUGUUGAAAUUGCUGUUCAUUGUCUGUUGUGUUUUCUGUAAAUCCUUUUCUUCAAUUUUCAAUGUUGUUAAUGAAGCUCAUAUCAAACUGUAUGCUGUUUAAUUGCCAAUAACUGUUUGUUGAAAGCCAAAUUGUAUGCCUACAUGAGGAUGACAACUUUGUAGUUAUGCAUGCUGAAAUGGUUGUGACCAUUAUAUUUCUUAGCACUCGC